UUUACAGUGUUUACAAAAAAGCUUAACUUCAAAACUGUAUAAUGUAUUUAAUUCUACAAAAGAAAAUGUUCCCCAAGUUCACUGGGAAGGGAAGGUUAAGAAG
Long non-coding RNA from Dipodomys spectabilis (banner-tailed kangaroo rat), 103 nucleotides. RefSeq lists it as uncharacterized. NCBI's taxonomy places the organism in Eukaryota, Metazoa, Chordata, Mammalia, Rodentia, Heteromyidae. The transcript is spliced from 3 exons. The record is from RefSeq and is a predicted model, not a curated record.